Piliocolobus tephrosceles (Ugandan red Colobus) is the source of this 1876-nucleotide RNA transcript. It is a transcript of the gene named ADP/ATP translocase 2 pseudogene, with no coding region annotated. The record is from RefSeq and is a predicted model, not a curated record. NCBI's taxonomy places the organism in Eukaryota, Metazoa, Chordata, Mammalia, Primates, Cercopithecidae. The transcript has a single exon.
CCUCCUCUUUUCAAUAUGACGGAUGCCACUGUGUCCUUCGCCAAGGACUCCCUGGCAGGUGGAGUGGCCGCAGCCAUCUCCAAGACGGUGGUAGCACCCAUCGAGUGGGUCAAGCUGCUGCUACAGGUGCAGCAUGCCAGCAAGCAGAUCACUGCAGAUAAGCAAUAUAAGGGCAUUAUAGACUGCAUGGUCUAUAUUCCCAAGGAGCAGGGAGUCCUGUCCUUUUGGUGCAGUAACCUGGUCAAUGUCAUCAGAUACUUCCUCCACCCAGGCUCUUAACUUCGCCUUCAAAGAUAAAUACAAGAGGCUCUUCCUGGGUAGUAUGGACAAAAGGUCCCAGUUUUGGUGCUACUUUGCAGGGAAUCUGGCAUCAGGCGGUACCACUGGGGCCACGUCCUUGUUUUGUGUACCCUCUUGAUUUUGCCCAUACUUGUCUAGCAGCUGAUGUGGGCAAAGCUGGAGCUGAAAGGGAAUUCCAAGUCUUCGGUGACCAACUGGUUAAGAUCUACAGAUCUGAUGAGAUUAAGAGCCUGUACCAAGGCUUUAACACGUAUGUGCAGGGUAUUAUCUAUCGAGCUGCCUGCUGCCUACUUCAGUAUCUAUGACACUGCAAAGGGAAAGCUUCCGGAUCCCAAGGACACUCACAUCGUCAUCAGCUGGAUGAUGCACAGACUGUCACUGCCGUUGCUGGGUUGACUUCCUAUCUAUUUAACACCAUUCACCGCUGCAUGAUGCAGUCAGGACGCAAAGGAACUGACAUCAUGUACACAGGCACACUUGACUGCUGGAGGAAGAUCACUCAUGAUGAAGGAGGCAAAGCUUUUUUCAAGGGUGCAUGGUCCAAUGUUCUCAGAGGCAUGGGUGGUGCUUUUGUGCUUCUCUUGUAUGAUGAAACCAAGAAGUACACGUAAGUUAUUUCCUAGGAUUUUUCCCCCUGUGAACAGGCAUGUUGUAUUAUAUAACAUAUCUUCAGCAUUCUUUUUUUUUUUUUUUUGAGACGGAGUCUCCCUCUAUUGCCCAGGGUGGAGUGCCGUGGCACAAUCUCGGCUCACUGCAACCUCCACCUUUUGGGGUCAAGCAACAUUCCUGACUCAGCCUCCUGAGUAGCUGGGACUACAGGCAUCUGCCACUCCUGGCUUUUUUUUUUUUUUUUUUUUUUUUUUUGUAUUUUUAGUAGAGACAGGGUUUCACCAUAUUGGCCAGGCUGGUCCUGAACUCCUGACCUUGUGAUCCACACGCCUCGGCCUCCCAAAGUGCUGGGAUUACAGACGUGAGCCACCGCACCCAGCUAUCUUCAGCAUUCUUGACAGACUCCUCGCUGUCAAUUUAUCAGUGGCAACUAUUUAUUGGUUGUAAAUGGGAAGCAGUAAUAUUCAUCUGACCAGUUUUCUCUUAAAGCCAUUUCGAUGAUGAUGAUGGUGAUGGGACUCAAUUAUAUUUUUUAUUUCAGUCACUCCUAAUAAAUAACAAAUUUGGAGAAAUAAAAAUGUCUUUAAAAAAAAAGAAAUGGCUUCACACCUUGGAAUGACAAAUGCUCAAAUGGCUCCCAGUAAGUGCGCACGGGGACACCACUGUCAGAGUGGUGAGCAAUCAUCUACCACAAAAUGUAACAAAGCAGCAGAGGUACAUAGGAAGCACGUGAGGACAUACAACCUCUAAGGCCCAUAUAAAUCUGUCAAGAAAACUUUCUGGAGGAAGGAAAGAUAGAAGAAAAGAUCUGGAUAUCAACAUUUGGUAAUGUCUACCUCAAUCUUCCUGACAACUACAUUCAAACCGACCUGGGUAUGCUGGUCCCAAGCACAUUAUCCAGCUUGAGUUUCAAUGCUGGGUAGGAGAAAAGGAAAUUAAGGGCAAGUCAGAGCCCAGAAAGGAGCAU